CCUACGGGGCGCACCAGUGGGGAAUAUUGCACAAUGGGCGCAAGCCUGAUGCAGCCAUGCCGCGUGUGUGAAGAAGGCCUUCGGGUUGUAAAGCACUUUCAGCGGGGAGGAAGGCGAUAAGGUUAAUAACCUUGUCGAUUGACGUUACCCGCAGAAGAAGCACCGGCUAACUCCGUGCCAGCAGCCGCGGUAAUACGGAGGGUGCAAGCGUUAAUCGGAAUUACUGGGCGUAAAGCGCACGCAGGCGGUCUGUCAGGUCGGGUGUGAAAUCCCCGGGCUUAACCUGGGAACUGCAUUCGAAACUGGCAGGCUAGAGUCUUGUAGAGGGGGGUAGAAUUCCAGGUGUAGCGGUGAAAUGCGUAGAGAUCUGGAGGAAUACCGGUGGCGAAGGCGGCCCCCUGACAAAGACUGACGCUCAGGUGCGAAAGCGUGGGGAGCAAACAGGAUUAGAUACCCGGGUAGUC
Molecule: ribosomal RNA, 464 nt
Filed under: uncultured bacterium
Lineage: Bacteria
Description: bacterial SSU rRNA
Rfam family: Bacterial small subunit ribosomal RNA
Source: RNAcentral